GCUGAUUACUAUUGGUUAUCGUAUCAUCGAACAACAACGCUGGUUGAUCAGCGAUUUCAUCAUCAAUCAGAAAGUCUUCUCUACCAUCAGACAAAGAUAAAGAAUUGGAAGCGUUUGUUGGACUCCCUGGACUUGAAGGUUUACCAGUGGAGCUUUCAUGAUUUUCUGACGUUGAUGACGAACUGCAGUUGAUGCUGUCAACAGGUGACGGCUCAUCAGCAAUCAAAGGUACACUGAUAUUCGAUGCAGCUAUGGCUGCAAAUGUUGGAUCAACCAAUGAGAGUCUAUUAUGAGCUUUAGCUGAAAUCAGACUCUCGAUUGAAGCUUCCAUAACAGGUAAAACAGCUGGAAUGACUUUAUCUCUGCUCUCAUCGCUGGAACUGUUACAAACCGAUGAGAAUUCCUCAGCCAUUGCUUCACCAGCAUGCGAAGACCACAUUUGAUCAUCUGAACUGCCUGCAUCGCGUGUAACCUGCGGUUUUUUGAUGAAUUUCGCGAUUUUUUCCAGGCGUUUAAAAGGUUGGUCUUCUUCGCAGUGACUGGAAGCUUCUGAUGAUGUAAAAGAGUUCUUCCUUUGCAUCUGACAACGAUUUUCUGUCAUUUUUUUAUCAAUUACAUUGCGUUGGUAUUCCGCGGCUCUAUCACGAACGUUUCCUGUACUAGGACUGAUCCUAGUGUAAUUAUUACUGAAACUGCUCAAUGUGGGCACUGGUAGGUCGGCCAUGUUGUCAUCGACGUCACGAACAUCGAAAGUGUUUCUAUUUACAAUCACUUCGAGUGUUCGUGGCUUGACAAACUUAGAAUUACGUAUUCUCCGUGACAUCGGUGACUUUUCCAAUUGUUUGAUGUUUUGAUUAUCGCCACAGUUGCUACCAACGCCUGAAUCUUCAGUAAAAUAUGAUUCAUCACCGGAUGUGCCUGCAGUUCGUCCUUUUUCGCCUUGUUUCUUACUGUUGUUAGCCAGCGUCUUUGCUGUUUUACUCUCGAGUAACUUAAUCGGUUGUGGUCUUGGUAAUUGAUUCGUCUGUAAAGUAUACUUUCCAACUCUUCCGACAUUUUUAUUUGAAUCUGUAUUGAUCAGUUGUAGAUGGCGCUGUUGCAUUUCAACUUUAGCUUUGAUUUCGUUCUCGAUUUGCUCACGUUCUUGAUUAUUAUUCGCGUAUUCAAUGCGUGUUGGUGGAUUUAUGUUGAUAUCAGCGACGCGGUUUAAUCUAUUAGCGUUAGGUUGACGGAAACCGAAGCGGCUGGGUUUGGUGGUGGCUUGCGCUUCUUUUUUCGGUGCUGGGAGCCGAUGUGGGGUUGAUUUACCGGAUGGCACUGCGUUGGAGGUGAGAGAUGCUGUGUCAUGGCUGGAAAUUGGAAUUGUGUGUGGUUGUUCUACACCGGUAUUGCCAUUACUAUCGACUGAUUCGGUUGCGUUGGCUAAUCGUCUUGCUGCUGUGGGGUUGUUGGUUGUUAGCGUGCAUGCGGGUGGUGCUGAUGUUGGCUUUUUGCGGAAUCCGAAAGAUGUCGCUACGCCUUUUGUGGCUUGUUUCUUCAUUGGUGGUUUUAUCUCUUCCUCAGGACUCUGGAAAUUUAAUAUGAGUUAAGUUAGGUUAUGAUUUCUUUAAAAUGAUGUUGAGGUUAAGUUAACAUCGUGCAGGAGGUGUAAUUAUGCUUGUAGCAUGUGGAACACAAUGGAAUGAGCAUAAUUAGGAACAGAUUGCCAAUUAACAUUCACUUUUCCACCUUUCACUGCAGUGUUUUGUGGAACAAUGAUUGGUUUAAUUGAAGGCACAAUUUAUUUGUUUUUUGUAAACAAAACUUAACAUAAACAGUUAUGUUUUAUAUGUUUUAGACUACAGUCUCUAAAAAACUAAAGUAAGUAGUUUUGAUAAGUACUUGAAGCAAUAAUGACUCUAUUUUCCGUUUGAACGAAGACGAUUUACCAACUCAUUUAAUUCCGCACUUGAGUUGGCAACGCAUACGAAAUGUAGAGAAGAAAAAACGUACCGUACCGAAAUUACUCGUAAGUUAUGUAUUUGUUAUAAUCACGUCGUUUUUGACAUACAUACCAAGCAGAUUAAAUCAGAAAUUGUAAAAAACUAGAUAAUGACGUGUAUAACAUCGAAAAUAUGUGUUAAUUCUUCAAAACACUCACUAAAUUUAAAGGUAAAUAUUUUUAGAUGUACUUUGCAGUCUGAUUAAUACAUAGUAGGUUUAUUUUGAAGCUUUUAGUGCUUUGACUGCAGUGCGCGAAAGCACAAAGCACUGAAAUCGAUUUAAGUGAACUUGAAAAUUUACGACAAUGUGCUUUACUCACGCAAUAUUGAUUUGUUUCGCGAGUUGACUCCCUAAACGCUUUUCUACUAUUCUAACGAUUCCAACAAUUUGGCAGAUAGAAUUAAUUCACUUUCAUAAAUAUUUAUGAAGGUAUUUUUGUGAUAAUAUGCGGGUAAUAAACUUCGUUAUGUAUGCAACCCACAAUGCAGAUAAAUCUAUGGUUAUAAAAUAACUUACAAAAUAUACACAAAUGUUGAACUUUUUCUUUGGGAAUCGUUAUGAAUUCUUUAUAUUCUUCUUUCUUUGUGUUUUUUUUAUUGUUUGGUAUUCAUCCUUUCAUAAACUAGUUUUUAUGAAAUGGAAUCAAAUCUGUGUCAUCUUUUCAAUAGAUUUUAAGCUGGUGAUAGUGUAGGUUAAGCCUUAAAAUAUGAGUGUGAGACACGAUGCAAAAGGUGAACGAAUGACCAACCUUUCCAACUGUUUCCAACCUUUUGAUAGCAUCGUCUCUUUGGUGCUUCUGCUUGUACAGACCACAGACAGCUCGGGUUUGCCAAACUUCCGGAAAGUCUUCGAUUGCAGAACUGCGGUUGGGGUUGUUUUAACGCGAUGGAGAAUUCGUGCGAGCGUUAUCAUCGAUCCGCGCGAGUGCGGCGGCGUGGCGGCGGUGACGACCAUGCGC
Dalotia coriaria is the source of this 2941-nucleotide long non-coding RNA. RefSeq lists it as uncharacterized. NCBI's taxonomy places the organism in Eukaryota, Metazoa, Arthropoda, Insecta, Coleoptera, Staphylinidae. The transcript has 3 exons. The record is from RefSeq and is a predicted model, not a curated record.